Molecule: long non-coding RNA, 17156 nt
Filed under: Hordeum vulgare
Lineage: Eukaryota; Viridiplantae; Streptophyta; Magnoliopsida; Poales; Poaceae
Description: long non-coding RNA (HVUL_LNC000453)
Source: RNAcentral
GGGGCUGGUGAGCAGCGUCUGGUCGGAGGUGAGCGGCACCUUGCGCGCGAGUACGUUCUUGAAGUACUGGUUGUCGAACUCCCCCGGCGUGACAGGGUCCAGCGGGACCGUCGUGGGGUCGCUCAUGUCGUCCGUCGACGGAGGGCACUGACGCUUCAGCUCGGCUGCGUAAGACUUCUCGAUGGACGGGUCGGUCCGGCCGACCUCGCCGGAGAAGUUGUGGAUGCGCUGCGUGAAGGAGGAGCAGUGGGAGCGACCGAUGGUGUGUGCACCGGAGAGCGUGACCAUGUCGUCCGCGGAGAGUCCCUUGCGCUUGAAGCUGGCCACUAGCUCCGCGACCUCGUCGGUCGGGAAUGGCACGUUGUUGUUGAGCACCUCGUCGGCGAUAGACACACGGCCGUCACGGCGACCAGACGGGACGCGGUAGUUGAUGCCGCCGGCGAGGUAGGCACCGUCGCGCGCCGCGAAGGCGAGGACGUCGGCGCAGGAGACGGUGCGCGGGCAGCUCGCCUCCAGGGCCGUCUUGGCCUCGUCGAUGACCUCGAAGCCACGCAUGCUCGGGUUGUUCGCCACCGAGUCCUUCUCCGCGGUGUUCCCCGGCGUCGAGUUGAUGAGCAGCGAGCCAUCGCAGCCCUACACGUGUGGAAGAGCAUAAAAAUCAACGGUCAGAUCAGGGACAUGCAUGCACACACGUUGCACUGACAAGGUUGAAUGAGCCGUGAAUGGAGUAGGGGUGCAUGGUGAUCGCUUACCCUGACGAAGCAGUCAUGGAAAUGCAUGCGGAUGAUGCCGGCGGCGAGGCCCGGGUUGCGGGCGACGGCGCGGCGGACGGCGUCGCGCACGAUGUACUCGGCCUGCGGGCACGUGUGCUCGUAGAACCCGACCUUCAAAAACUUGGACGGCGGAGGCGACGCGUCCGCCACCGCCGAGAAGGCGGCCGCAACGAGCAGCACCGCCGUUGCCCACGCAAACGUAAGAGCGGGGAACCUCAUGGCUGGAAGCUUGUUCUCGAAGCAACUAAGUAUGGAUCAGUUUUCACGGACUGCAGGUUGCCAGAGAUUUGCUGUGGUGAUGCGUUGAUGGCUGGGUGAAGUGGUGUUUAUAUAUGCAUUCGCAUUGUAGCAGUUGGGAAUAAAAAGCGGCACCGCGUGUUGCACCCGACUACGGAGUCAACUACAACUACACGACCAGAUCGUCGUUAAGAGUGGCCUUGUAUUAGCUGCUUACAUCCACCUAACUGCAGCUAAAGUAAACCCGCUUACUCCUGUAUGAACUAACAAAUCAUGUGGAUUAUGGGACCGAUUAUUGGUAUUAAGUCGCCUGAUUUCUUUUGGGUAAAUCGAUGGAUCCUUCCCUCGCAAGAAAAAGAGUCGAUGGUUCCUUGAUAGUUUGGCUUGUAGCUUAAGAACAUCUCUAACAGACUUCGUAUAAUGUUGAUCCAUAAAAUGCAAUAAUGGACAGGAAAACACUCACAAGCAUGUUUGGUUUCUGUGGUCUGCCAUACACAUAUAAUAAUGGACAGGAAAACACUCGCAAUAUUCAGGUCCGUUUGGAUCGCACGUGUGCGCAUGAAGCUUGGCGGGAUAUCUUUUCAGCGGUGAGGGUUUUUCAUCUUGCCAAGUCGUGCUCAGACCAUAGCCCCCUCUUGGUAAAAUUUAAGGGAGUUCAGGAGCAGAGAUGUUGUUCUUCUGUCUCGCGCUAUGAAAUGAUGUGGGAACGUUAUGUAUCACUCCCAGGUGUCAUUGCGGGGGCAUGGGCAACGCAUCGCCCUGUCAGCAAUUUCAGUUCGGUUGCCUCCUCGUUGAGUGAGGUGAUGAAGGAACUAAAACAGUGGAGUAGUGCGAAGUUUAGGAAUGUUCUGAAGGAGAUCGAGACUCUUCGUACACAACUUUUCGAGCUUCAAUUGGUGGGUUCAGACCGUGCUCAGAUUCGUAACAAAAUGAACCAGCUUGAUGAGUUGUUGUAUAGAGAGGAAAUGCUAUAGCUUCAACGCUCCCGUAUAUCUUGGCUGAAGGAGGGUGAGUGAAACACCAAAUACUUGCAUCGACGGGCAGUCUAGUGAGCUCGCAGGAAAUAUAUUCAGCGUCUGUUAAAAGAGGAUGGCUCUUGGUGUAAUGCUUCAACUGACAUGGAAAGGAUAAAAAACUCGGACAUGAUGUUUUUGCACCCGAGCUAAAAUGAGCUCGGGCGAACAGUAAAUUCAAAAAAAAAGUAAAAAUGUUCAAAAAAAUUUGAAUUUUUUCUGGACAAACUUUGACAAAUUUUCUAAGUGCUCACAAAAUUUCAUCAUGAAAUCACAUUUUUAGAAGUCGUGGUAAAAAAACAAAAUCGAAACUCUGAAAAUGCUACUUUCGAAAGCAUUUUGGAACAUCGAUUUUGUUUUUUUUGUCACGAUUUCCACAAAUGUGAUUUCGUACUGAAAUUUUGCGAGCUAUUAGACAUUUUAUCAAAGUUUACUGUAAAAAAUAUCCAAAUUUUUUAAAACAUUUUAGUAAUAUUUUUUGAAUUUACUGUUCACCCGAGCUCAUUUGAGCUCGGGUGUAGAAGAGCACUUUCCGACAAACUUCUACUUUAGGCUUUGUUUGGUAGAAGUGGAUUGGGGAGGUUUGGGGAGGAGGGGAUUUGGUGAAUCCCUUCCUUCCACCCAAUCCUCUCAAAUCCUCGGGGUUUUGCUUCCACUAGUCCAUUGAGGAGGAUCCGGAAACACAUGGAUAUGAAGGGAUUGAAGGAGAACGAAGGAGAUUCGGUUAAGCAAACCCCUCAUAUCAAAUGGGUGCCCGACGUUCUGUGGGGUUUCUGACCCUCUCGGGGAUUUUCCUCUCGAAACCUCCUUAAUCCCUCCGUGCCAAACGAGGCCUUAAGGAGAUUUUUACAAAGGACCCAACACUUGCCGCAGGUGAAGUCCUUGACUGUAUCACGCGGCGAGUUACAGUGCAGAUGAACGAGUCUCUGUGUAAACCUUAUAGAGAGGAGGAAAUUUCUAAUGCCCUAUUUCAGAUUGGUCCUUUGAAAGCCCCAGGAUGUGAUGACUUUCCUGCCCGGUUUUGUCAAUGAAAUUGGUCGGUGCUCAAGGAUGAAAUUGUUGCUGCUGUCCUAGAUUUGUUUUAUCAUGGGGAUUAUGCCAGAUGGUGUGAAUAACACGACAAUUGUGCUUAUCCCAAAAGUUCCUCAUCCGAAGGAUCUCAAGGACUUUCGUCCAAUUGGCUUAUGUAACGUGGUGUACAAAGUUGUCUCCAAGUGUAUGAUGAACAGGUUACGGCCUUCCUCAACUAGAAGACCAGAUUGUCGUUAAGAGUGGUUUUGUAUCAGUUGCUCACAUCCACCUAACAACAGCUAAAGUAAAUCACAUGCUCGGGUUGCUCAUAUGGAUAACAAAUCCGAUGGAUUAUGGGAACGACUAUUGGUACUAAGUCGUCUGAUUUUUCUUGGGCAAGUCAACUUUUUGGAUCGUUGGAUUAAGUUCCAACGGCCUCCUUCUAUCUUCUUCCUCCUUGAGCCGUUCCUCCUCCUGGCUCCAGUGUUCUCCUGCACUCGCCGCCCCUGUCCCAACCUUGGGCGACGAUAUUGUCUAAUCCGAGUGGGAACCAAAAAUUAAAAGCGCCCUCCCACCUCUUCUCUGCUUAGGAUGUCAAGUGAGCUGCAUUGUCUCCGACUCUAGCUCGUUUCCGACUCGGCCUCAGAGUUGUCCUAAUUGUAAAUCCGGACAAUUUAUAAAUAGAUAUCUCCGUGAUGCAUGCAACACAAACAAGCUCACAUAUCUCAAAUGGAACACAUGGUAUUAUAAAUCUUUCAACAGCUUGAAAUUAGAUUGCACCUGAUCUGAGUCCUGAUCUAGAACUCUAGUACAUGUGUCAUGGUGUCUGUAGUUGCCAAAAAAGGCCCUCUGAUUUGUAGCAAGAUGUUUCCGUAACUUUAGUCUAUAUGUGCAUGCUUAGCACUCAUAUGUCUUCAGUCGAAUGUGGAUGCGCCUGUAGAGCGACAUGGCACCUUAAAUUAGGUGAAACACACGACACUCUCUGACGGCUCAUGAACCACGUUGCAUACGGUGAUGUUUUUUCGAUAAAGAAUAUUUCAUUUAACUGAUAUAUCGAGGUAAUACAACUACAAUGAAAAAAAUGCCCGGCCUCUGCAUAGCACGAUGCACACAGCCAACAAGUCCAACAAACCUUAAAAAAAUCAUUUUACAAGAAUAGUAAACUAGGGUGGGACUCAUCCUAUACGGAGAUUACGGUGGUGUUUCUUUAUCUAGGGACUAGACUAAAAAAGUCCCUUUUAGUCCCUAGGUAAAGAAACAGGAGGGACUUUUCCUUAAGGGACUAGAAAAAGACUCUAUUGAAGGGACUUUUUUCUUUAGUCCCUGGGAUUAAAAAAAGUCUAGUCCCUUGAAAAGAAACACCACCUACACCGCCAUCCAUGUUGGGAGAAAACCUCUCUGGCCGUAUGCUCCAACCGUGUGGACGCCAUAAUAAAAAGAUCUAUGUCCUCUGGCCUCUGUAGGAUAGACCACGUACGGAGCCGUCGCCUACACGCAUGAAUAACCUGCAGAGGAGAUAUGACACAUUUAUUGUUAAAAACCACAUCAUUCCUGGUAAGCCACAAUGCCCAACAUAAGGCAGCCGCCCCCACGAGAAGAUGUGCCGAAAAUUAUUUAUCUAUUCUCCACAACCAAUUACCGAACAUGUUACGCGCACUACGUGGGGGAUAUAGAUUUGAAGCUACUUGAACUAUGGCCGAGACUGCACGAGCGAACUUACACUUAAAGAAUAAGUGUUUAAUGGACUCGUCAUGUUGGCAAAAGAUACAUGUCUUGCUACCUUGCCAAUUGCGUCGUGCCGGGUUAUCUCUAGUUAAGAUGACCCUUUUGUUAAGAAACCAAAGGAAUAUCUUCAUUCUUAGAGGGAUUUUUAGCUUCCACAAUUUGUUGUUAUCAACCGGAACAUCAGUGUAAACCAAUGCAUCAUACAAGGAUUUCACUGAAAAGCUACCAUUCUGAUACAAAUUUCAUUGGAAUUUUUCUGGUUCGCCUAACAGCUCAAUGGUCUCUAGAUGAAUGAGUAACUCAUUCCAUGCUACCAGGCGAGGGCCAAACAGGUCCCUACGGAAAGAAAUAUCAGGGUUUUCUUAUCCCAAUACUUGUUUAAUCAUGACGAAUUUAUGUUUGAAGAUCUUAUACAAGCUAGGAUAUUGCAUGAUAAGUGGAGUGCCCCCAGCCAAGUGUAUUUCUAGAAUCGAACCUGAGAACCAGCCCUAACCGGAAAGUACAAAAGUGGAAACAGAAUUCCUUGACCAUCACACCACUCCAAAAGUGUGAAUGACCAGGUUUCCAAUGAACUUGAGAAAUGGCUUUGGGCCCCACGUACUUAUUACGAAUGAUUUCUUGCCACACUCCAUUCUCCGUGAGUAGUUUGUACUCCUUCCGUUUCUUUUUAGUCUGCAUAUAAGAUUUGGUCAAAGUCAAGUGAUACAAAGUUUGACCAAAUAAAUAUCAAAAGAUAUCAACAUCUAUAAUACUAAACCUAUAUGCUAUGAAAAUUAAUAUCAUGAUGCAUCUACUAAUAUUGAUUUCAUAUUAUGAAUGUUGAUAUUUUAUUCUAUAAUUUCAGUCAAAGUUUAUAAAGUUUGACUUUGACCAAAUCUUAUAUGCGGACUAAAAAGAAACGGAGGGAGUAUAACCAUUUACUCAGAAGAGCGAUGUUUUUAAUCUUAAUAUCCUAGAUUCCAUGGCCCCCUUGACUUUUAGGUCGGCAUAACACACUCUACCUAGCCGGCCGGUAUAUCUUGGAUUCAUUAUCACACUCCCAAAAAAAUCUGGAUCUAAAAUAAUCAAGACGCUGAAGAACCCCUUUCCGUAAGUGAAAGAACGACAACAUGUACAAAAUCAUGUUGUUGAGGACGGAAUUGAUCAUAAUCAAAUGUCCCCCAUACGACAAGAGUUUGGCCUUCCAACUGGUUAGACAUCUCUCAAGUCUCUCUUCCACGUGGUUCCACUCAGCGAUAGUUAAACGCCGAUAGUGAAUCGGAAUACCUAGACACUUAAUCGGGAACCGCCCUAGCUGGCAGCCCAAAAUCUCAGCAUACUUAGACGUGGACUCAAUCGCGUCGCCAAAGCAAAAAAGCUCACUUUUAUGGAAGUUUAUUUUGAGACUAGAGAGCUCCUCAAAUGUACAUAAAAGCAAUUUGAGGUUUCUUGCUUUAUCUAGGUCAUGAUCCAUAAAAAGUAUAGUGUCAUCCGUAUAUUGUAAAAUGGACAAACCUUCUUCUACUAAAUGAGGAAUCACGCCACUAACCCGACUGGCCACCUUAGCCCGCUCAACAAGGGUAGUUAGCAUAUUGGCCACAAUGUUAAACAGGAUAGGGGAUGCGGGGUCCCCUUGGCGAAGCCCUUCCUAGUCCGAAAGUAGUUGUGAACAUCAUCGUUGACUUUGAUAGCCAAACUACCUCCGGAAACAAAAUUCUCUAUCCAUCGACACCAUUUUGGUGAAAAUCCCUUCAUACGCAAAGUUUGCAAUAGAAAGGGCCAUUUGACUUUGUCAUAUGCUUUUCCGAAGUCUAUUUGGAGGAUGACUCCAUUCAACUUUUUACGGUGAAGCUCAUGUACAGUUUCAUGCAACACAACAACUCCAUCUAGUAUGUUGCGUCCUUGCGUAAAUGUUGUUUGAGUGGGUUUAACCACAUGAUCAGCCACCCCAUUCAACCGAUUCGUUGCGACCUUUGUGAAUAUCUUAAAGCUGACAUUGAGAAGUCAAAUCACUCUGUAUUGUUGACUACGACUUGCUUCCUUAGUUUUGGGCAAAAGAAUAAUUUCAUUGAAGUUUAAACGGUUAAUAUCAAGAUUUUCGGCAUGCAGUUGGACCAGCCGUAUCGGAUGGCAUGCAUCAUGCAAUGCAAUCGCAUUGUGUCGGAUGACAAAUUACCGAGAGAAAAGGGAAUUUGUUUUGUUUGUCGAUUAUCUGUAAGCACAACUGAGAUUGAAUAGAUCUCAGACAAUUCUUUCUAUAAUAAACAACCAAUCCCGAGGACGAAGAGAAUGUCUAUACGUACUCUCGGUUAGUGCAAAGUAUACCUUAAGCUUGUACUCCACGAAUCUGUAUGUAAAAAAAAAAGAUUAUCGUGUCUUUCUGACCGCGUCUCCGUUUGGAAGAUAAAUACAUGGUCGCCGCUAAUGUGCCUGAACUGUCACUAUCUGCUUAAUGUUACUCAAAAUUGGCAUUCUCAACGCAAUCACUAGCGUAACCGAUUGUGUCAUUGUGUGAAAACUACUUGUGCAUUUCUUAAGCAAGUUCAUAUUGAUCGAUACGGACAUGGGUUGACGGCUCGACGUGACUGGUGUUUAUGUAUGCAAUCACCGUGUAGCAGUUGGGAAAAAUGGCGCCCCCGCCGCGUAUCAUACCGAGUGAACAACAAAUACUAGAUCGUCAUCGUGUUGCUUUAAUAGCUGCUUCCAUGAACUGAAUGUAAAAAAACAAAACUAGCCAUGCUCAUUCCCAACUGUUUGAAUAUUUCCCAUACCCAAUUCAUUCUUUAGACGUAGGCCCUAUGUAGAUUGCAUAAUCUUUUUUUCUUUAAUACCGCAUUCACAUGGUUUUGAAGUCGAGACUUCUUGGCCCCGAUAUCAUAUUUGAAUUCAUGCUCUAGCUAAUUCAUUCAAAAGUUAAAACGGAUGCACAAAGGUAGAGAAUAUAUUUCUACAUCCUUCUCAUGUCUAGAAUUCAUAUAGUCAUUAGACCUCUUGGCCCUGAUGUCAUGUAAAACUGCACGUGCCAGCCAUAUCAUGCAAAAGCUCAAAUUGAAUUGACGGGAAAAUUUGGGUUAUGCAUUUAUAUUUUGACAAGUGAAACACUACAUUUCCGGUUGUUUGAUUUUUUCUGAAAAAAAUUGUUAUAUAUGAUGUCCAGUGACGAUAUGAAUAUUACUUUAUUGUUCUACGUAGAUUUAGAAGUACAAUCAAGGCUUUAGUAAACUAAUCUAUCGGUGUGCCGCGAACAAUUACGAUGACGAAGAAGAUGUCUUUGCUCCGGGUAAUACAUUCUCGGGAAGGUAUGUGUGCAGUGUGUAUAUAUGUAUGCAAAUCUAAUAACCUUUAUCUCGGUCCCAUCUCCACCGACAUAAAAUUAUAUACGGAUAUUUGGUAAGAAUAUUCAUGUGUUACUAUCUGCUUAAUGGUACCCAAACUUUGUAGUAUUAGCAACACAAUUAAUCAUUUCACGCACAACAGAGUUGUCAACAACCAAAAGUAAAGGAAUGUGGGAAUGCAUGUUAUUGUUACGUUUUGUCCCGUAGACUUCUUCAGCGAAACAGAAAAGCUUUUGUGGCUAAAUUCUUGACACGGUCUUCUCUUAGUCGCACUGGUUGCCCGGGGCAAAUUCGUGCUAGUUUGGACGAUCUACGUGAGUUGUCUAUGAUUUUGUUCUAGAAGUUUUGCCGCCCUUCUUUGUAGCGACAUGAAUUGUCUGUUAGUUGGUCUCUUUUGUUUUCAUUUAUCCUUGAGCUUGCAAGCACACAUUUGUCAAAACUCAUAACAUCAUCUCUCCCUGUAGCUGCAUUGAUUGACCGACUAGAUAAAUGGAUAUUAUAUAAAUGCAGCUACUAUUCUCCAAAGGUGGCAGCAGCUAGUAGAGUACACAGUACACGUACACGUCUUAGCUUCUGAUUUUUCUCGCUACGAAUUAAUAACACAGUGAAACAUGUCAACCUUUUACCAUGUCAAAUUAUUUCCCUGCUCCAAUAAUUGAUAAAAUCAACUGGAGUUUUUAUUACAUUAGUUACUACAUCCGUCCAGAUGUACUAUACAUCCUACACAUAGUUUUAGUUCAAAAAUUUAACAAGGCAAAUAUGUAUUAUAUGUGACAAAAGAAAUAUGUUUACAAACUACAUUCACACAUGGAUCUAGCUAUAUUUUUUUGAUAGCAUAUAACACGUAUUUAGAUAGUCAAAUCCAUGAACUACGUACAUGUCCUUUACGCCCCGACGGAGGGAGUACCUUGUCGAUCGUAGCUAGAGUAGCCUCCAAGGUAGUACGCUGUACUAGUUUUUUCUUUUUAGUAAUACUAUAUCCCAUCUAACCAUUUCUUCUAAUCGGAUGUAUAUGAUGUGUAGUGUGUUCGUUCACUUAUCUCAUUCCAUGUUUACUUUAUAUUAAAAUAUCUAAACCAUCUUUUAAUUUGAUGUGGAGGCAAAAGCUAGCGGAUUCGUUCCUCUGUUUGUUUCAUGAAUACCAUUUUAAGUGUCAGCAACUCUUAAUUCUUCAGGCCCACAAUUGCGAAUCCUUCCACCACCCUCUCUUUGCCGACCCCCGCCCACCGUACUCAUGACAUGCUCACCAUUGCUCAUGCAUCCUCUCAGGAUGCCAAUACCUUUAAAACCUUCUUGGAUGACUUCGCCCUAGCCACGGGUCUAGCCCUUAACUUUCACAAAACAACUUUCGUCCCUCUCCAUUCCGCCCCGAAUGUCGCCAAUGAAAUUGCCUCAGUCUUAAGUGUUGCCAUGUCUCCUCCUUCCCACAAACGUAGCUAGGACUGCCCCUUUCGUACACUAAGCUCCCUUCCCAUUUUUAACCCUAUCAUGGAGACCUUCCGCAAAUUCCUUUCGGGUUGGGUCGACGAUCUACUCUCAUGUGGGGCUAGACUCACGCUGAUCUCCUUGGUCCUAGACUCUCAGCCUAUUUAUUUUAUGUCUGUUUUCAGCUGACCAAUUUUUUUUUGAAAGAGCUCAAUGUUGUUCGUAGGGCCUUCUUCUGGACGGCUGAUAAAAACUGCAUUGGGGCUCACUGUCUUGUUUAUUGAAAAAAUGUUUGCAAACCAAAAAAUUGUGAUGGUCUAGGCAUUAAAAACUUGCUUGUAUAAAGUAAUUGUCUACUAAUGAAAUUUUCUUUUAAACUCCUCCAACAACCAGAGUUGCCUUGGGCUCAAUGGUACCACUACCGAUACUCCAACACCAUAGCUGAUAGCACAUCCAAACCCUCCUUCAUCUAAAAAGUUGUAAAUCACCAGCUCCCUUCUCUCCAAAAAAUUUCCUUCGUUUUCACUAAUAAUGGUCAGGGAACCUUUUUGUGGCUUGACAUUGGAUCCACCACCAACCCCUUUACCUAGCCUUUCCCUACCUUUUUUUGCACGCAACGAACCCCACUGCCUUGGUCUCGCUUAUUAUACAGAAUGAAUUGCUAGCUAACAUGCGAAAUCGUCUUACUAAUCUUGCCAUUGUCAAGCUUGCUGUUGUUUUUGUAGAAAGAUAUGAUGCGCCUUAGCUCUCCAAUAGGAGGGCCGAAGGUUAUAUAUAUUGAUAUGGUGAUCGGUUGGGAACAAGGGAUAUACAUGAGAGGGAUAGAGAUAGAAAGUUAAACAUAAAGUUGUUACAACACACAAUAUCUAUCCCCACAAUAUCUCAUGUCUAACACCCUCUCUUAAUCUAAGUUUCUCAAGUUUAGAUUACGCUUAAAUUCCUCAAAUGGUCUUGUAGCUAGGGCCUUUGUGAAGCCGUCUGCAACUUGAUCUCUUGAAGGAACAAACCGGAUUUCCAAUUCCUUGCUUGCAACCCUUUCUCGAACAAAGUGAUAAUCAAUUUCAAUAUGUUUGGUCCUUGCAUGAAAGACUGGAUUUGCAGAAAGAUAUGUAGCACCAAGAUUAUCACACCAAAGACAUGGAGUUUGUAUAUGACAUAUCCCAAGCUCCUUGAGCAUUGCCUUUACCCAUAUAACUUCAGCUGUUGCAUUUGCCAAUGCCUUGUAUUCUGCCUCAGUACUGGAUCUAGAGAGAGUUGCCUGUUUCUUAGCACACCAUGAUAUAAGAUUGGGUCCAAAGAAAACUGCAAACCCACCUGUAGAUCUUAUAUCAUCCAAACAACCUGCCCAGUCAGAGUCAGAAAAAGCACUGACAAGUGUGGAAGGAGAUUUACUGAAGGUGAGUCCAACAUCCAAGGUGUGCUUAACAUAUCCCAAGAUGCGCUUAGCAGCAGUCAAGUGAGCUGAGGUAGGUGCAUGGAAAAACUGACAAACCUUAUUGACUGCAAAGGAAAUGUCAGGCCUGGUGAGUGUCAAGUACUGAAGUGGUCCUACCAGACUUCCGUAUUUUGUACCAUCCUCUGAAUUUAAAGGAACCGCUUCUGCAAGGGACAAUCUUUCUGCACUGGAAAGGGGUGUUGGUGACGGUUUGCAUCCUUGUAAUCCUGCCUUGUUCAAGAGAUCAGAUGCAUAUUUUACCUGAGAGAGAUGAAGACCCCCUUCUUUAUUUCUCUUGACCUCAAUGCCAAGAAAGUAAUGAAGAUCUCCAAGAUCCUUUAGAGAAAAUUCUGAAUUUAAAUCCUUUAGAAGGGCAGUAAUAGCUUCAUUGGAGGAGCUAGUAACAAUAAUAUCAUCCACAUAGAUAAGUACAAAGAUAGCUAUCUGUGACUUAUUGUAAAUGAACAAGGAUGUAUCAGACUUGGAGGGAAUAAAGCCAAGAGUGUGCAGCUUAGAACUUAAACGAGAAUACCAUGCUCGUGGUGCUUGCUUGAGUCCAUAGAGAGAUUUAUCAAGCCUGCAGAUAUGAGAUGAUUUAUGUUUGUCCUCAAAACCAGGAGGUUGCUUCAUAUAAACUUCCUCUUCCAGAACACCGUGAAGAAACGUAUUCUGCACAUCUAGCUGUCUGAGACUCCAUCCUCUGGACACAACAAGUGAUAAAACAAGGCGAAUGGUAGCAGCUUUAACAACAGGACUGAAUGUAUCCUCAUAAUCCAGUUCAUACCUUUGUUUGAACUCCUUGGCAACAAGUCUGGCUUUAUAGCGAUCAAUAGUACCAUCAGAUCUGCGUUUGAUGCGGUACACCCAUUUGCAAUCAAUAACAUUUUUACCUUGUCUAGGAGGAACAAGAUGCCACGUGUGAUUUUUCUGGAGAGCAUGAAACUCCUCUUCCAUAGCCAUGCGCCACUUGGGAUCAGCCAAUGCUUCAUCAACUGUGCGGGGUUCAUCUGUUAGAACAGAGGCAACCAGGCCAUACCUAGUUUUGUAGUUUGAAUAGUGCCAUCCUGGAGUCGCGUAUGAGGGGCUACAGAAUUGGUCACAGCCACAGAGGAUCCAGCCGCUGUCAACUGCUGCUGGUCAACCGGAUCAGUUGUGGCGGAGCCAACGACGCAGAGGCGGGUGAGGCCGCAGGGGAGCCGGACGAUGGCGCAGAAGAUCCAGGCAAAGAGACCAGAUCAACAUCGGAUCCAGUGGCGCCACCAGAGCCAGCGAUGUGUCGAUCUGGCCCGCCUGGUGCAGAGGACACAGGAACCGGCGUCGUGGAAACCGACACGGGCCGUCGGUUGUACACCAGCGGGACCGGCGCGUACCGCGCGGUCGGUUGUCGUGCAGCAGACGCGGAGGCCAGCGUGGGGGAAGGGCGACACGUGGCGUCAGACGGGUGGCUCGGGGCAGAGGAUGCUGUCGGUACUGGCGCAUGCAUGCAGGGCGUGUCCUGACGCGACGACAAUCCCGAGGAGGAUGCGGUCGGGGCUGACACGGGCAGGUGUGGCGAUCCCGAGGGGGGUUGCAGCAGAUCGUCAUGGGCGCUGAUUGGUCCUGCAGACAUGUACUCAGGUGUAGUAGAAGAUAGAUUAGUCAUAUUUUGGUUAGUACAAAUAUCAGCACCCGCACACGAGACACUGGAAAGGUUAGGUGGUAGGAGAAGAAUUUCUUUUCGAAGAAGUGCAUCAACAUUGGGGUGAAGAUGUGAAAACAGAAACUGAGUUUCAUCAAAGACUACGUCACGUGAGAUGUACACACGACCGGUAGAUACGUCAAGGCACUUGACACCUUUGUGUUGGGCACUAUAGCCAAGGAAAACACAUUGUGUGGAGCGAUACAUAAGUUUGCGAGUAUUAUAUGGACAUAGGUUGGGCCAACAUGCACAACCAAAAACACGAAGAGCGGAGUAAUCAGGUGUGAUAUGAAGAAGACGUUCUGUGGGAGUUUCAUGAGAAAUAGUCCGACUUGGCAACAUGUUAAUAAGGUAAACAGCUGUAAGAAAGGCCUCAUCCUAGAACUUUAAGGGCAUAGAGGCAGAACCUAGUAGUGCUAGGCCUACUUCAACAAUGUGGCGAUGUUUUCUCUCAGCACAGCCAUUCUGCUAAUGAGCAUGUGGGCAAGAGACAUGGUGAGAUAUGCCAAUCUUUUGAAAAAAAGAAUUUAGCUUCUCAUACUCACCACCCCAGUCAGACUGAACUGCAAGUAUUUACUAUUAAAUUGGCGUUCUACAAGAGCUUGAAAGUUAUGAAACACUUGAAACACAUCAGAACAUUUCUUAAGAAGAUAUAUCCAUGUGUAUUUGCUAAAAUCAUCAAUGAAACUCACAUAGUAUUGGUGCCUUCCAACAGAAGUGGGUGCUGGACCCCAUACAUCAGAAAAAAUAAGUUGCAAAGGUUUAGUAGAGAUGCUAAGAGACACAUGAUAUGGUAAUUGAUGACUUUUAGCUCGUUGACAUGAGUCACAAAUGGUUUCUGGAUUUCUCUCACCAACAACUGGGAGAUUAUUUGUACUAAGAAUACGAUGAACAGUAGCAAAAGAAGGAUGACCUAAGCGACUGUGCCACCUUUCAGCAGAAAGCUUGAUGGCACCAUAGACUUGUUUAUGGGCUUGGCAGUAUUGGGGAAGCAAAGCAUAGAGGCCUUGGACACAAACACCUCUAUGAAGAAUUUUCUUCGUGACCUGAUCCUUGAUCAAAAAAAAAGAAUGGGUGAAAUUGUAGAAACACAUUGUUAUCAAGGGCAAUACGAUGAACGGAUAAUAGAGUUUUGGAAGCAUUGGGAACAUGAAGGAUUUCAUUAAGGGCAAGGUUUUUGUGUGGGGUUUUGAUAGAUGAAUGACCAAUAUGACUUAUCUUCAUACCUGUACCAUUGGCAGCAGUGUAGACUUGAUCAUGGCCACGGUAUCUCUCCGGCAUGGACAACUUUUCUAACUCACCAUUGAUAUGGUUUGUGGCGCCCGUGUCCAUAUACCAAUUGGUAUCAACACCAUAGGACACAUCUGCUGCGGCUGCAAUCUUCUUGCUUUGGGAGUUAGGGUCAUCGGUAUAGCGCCAAUCGCAGUCCUCGGCAAUGUGAUUGGAUUUCUUACAGAUUUGGCAGCGGCCCUCAUAGCCGUCAUACCCUUGGAAGGGGCGCCCCCUGUUGUUGUUGUUGGGAGGGCGCCGAGUGUUGUUGCCACCGGCCGAGGAGUUCUGGUGAUAGUGGCCACCGCCACUGCCACCAUAGCCUCCGCCUCCUCCAUUGUUCUGAUGGUAAGGACCACCAGAACCGCCACCCUGGUGAUAGCCGCCACCGCCACCGUUGUGAUGGGCGCCACCAGAGCCGUAGUUGCCGCCACCAGGGGCGCCAUAGCCGCCGCCGUUGCCACAAGGACCACCGCCACCACUGCCUUUCUGGUUGCGGUAGCCACCUCUACCGGCGUUUGCGCGACCCCGGGAGGCCGCGUUGGCAGAUGACUUAAAGCCACCGGCGCCACCACCGUGGAACAUCUCGAUCCGUUGAUCGAAGUUCGCCACGAGGGAGAAGAGUGCGUCGAUGGUGACAGGCUCGGUGCGGACGUCGAGGGCGGAGAUGAUAGGCUGGUAGUCCAUGUCCAGACCCGCGACGAUGAAGGAGAUGAGCUCCCCCUCCCCGAGUGGUUUGCCCGCCGCCGCGAGCUCAUCGGAGAGGGAGCGCAUGUGCCCAAAGUAUGCCGAGGCCGAUUGAGUACCUUUCUGGGCAUUGGUGAGUGCAGAUCGAAUAUUGUUGACGCGGGACAGGGAGACGGCGGCGAACAUAGCUGCGAGGGCAGCCCAUAUCACAUGUGAAGAUUCGAGGGAAGCAACCUGGACAAGUACCUCUUUGGACAGGUUGCGAAGAAGGUAGGCAACAAUCUGUUGAUCCUGGAUCAACCAGGGGGCAUAGGCAGGGUUUGGAACAACCUGAUCCUUGCCGUCUUUGUCUUUGAUGGAGAUGGUUUUGGAAGGCUCUUCUAGGGUUUGAUCUAUAUAGCCAAACAAGCCGGCACCCAUUAUCUGGGAUCGUGCUUGAGCUCUCCAAAGGACAUAGUUCGUCUUGGAGAGGGGCUCGGAGGUGUUGUAGUUGAGAGCGGCGGUGAUGGGGGCGAUGGAGGACGACAUGGUGGACGGGACGUGGUGGGAUGUCGAUGGAGUUUAGCUAGAUGAGGUGGAAGGGCCUGCUCUGUAUACCAUGUAGAAAGAUAUAAUGCGCCUUAGCUCUCCAAUAGGAGGGCCGAAGGUUAUAUAUAUUGAUAUGGUGUGAUCGGUUGGGAACUAGAGAUAUACAUGAGAGGGAUAGAGAUAGAAAGUUAAACAUAAAGUUGUUACAACACACAAUAUCUAUCCCUACAAUAUCUCAUGUCUAAUAGUUUUGUCCCUGUUGCGCAGGAUUUUGAGCCUAAUGACGCCACUGACGUAAGGUACCUCAACCAUGAGCUCUCGUUCUCCACUAAGGACGCUUACAACCUUCUUGUCGGCUCGCCAUAUAAUGACACCAACGCUGCUCUCAGAUGGACCUCCCGCGUCCCAAUCAAGGUUCAAGUAUUCGGCUGGCUCCUCUUCUAAGACUGCCUCAAUCCAAGGCAAACCUCUUCCGCAAGACCAUCGUCACCGACACCAAUUGUGCGCGUUGCUCCGUGCCCUGCGAGGACGCCGCCCACAUAUUCCUCCUCUGCCCCGACUCUGCAGCUGUGUGGGCUGCUCUACAGCUCAAUGCUCCAUCCUCCAUCAACGAAAUGGGGGAGAAAGUUUGUGUUCCCUCGUUCCAGAUGACAUCUUGGCGCGGGGGGGGGGGGGGGGUCUCGGAUUUUCAACUAAUUUGCAAUUUUCAUCAGUAUCUUGUGGUGGUCAUGUUGUUUCAUAUUCCUCUGUGGUGGUGUCAUAGAGCCAAAGAGGUAUGUGUCAUCAUGGAGCCGAUUAUUCAGAUUUGAUAAGUUUAUGUGUGAGGUUGCUGUUGUUUGUUUGUUUCUUUAUGGAGUUAGAAUCUUUCCUUUACAUUAUGGUGAAGAUUUUGUGGUUCUAUCGGUAAUUGAGUUUGUGCAAGUGAAGGAGUGGCAAUAUCGCUGCUCAUGUCCAGCAGUAGUCUAUUUUCUGAAGUCUUGACAGUUUUUCAUCUUGCAAAGGUUGAUGCUAUGGAGAAGAUGACUUUAAGAGAUUUAAUUGUAAUUCUUAGUUGAACUGGUUACUUUGCAAUUUCUUGGAUCAAUGGUUGCGAGUACGAAUAAAGUUACAUGUGUUUCUAUCAAGAAAAUACUAGGGUUUUACAAACAGACAACUAUUUUUUUCUCAUAUGAUGAUGUUCUCCAAUAUUGCUCGUUUGUGCAAAUGAAAGAACUAGAAAAUUCUUUUCAGCUUUCCAAAAGCAAGAAAAUUUAUCCAUGUACAUUUUCUUCUUCUGCAUUAUACACUCAUGUUUUUGACAUACACUAAGAAGUAAGAACAAGGAAAAAAAUCACUUCGGAAAAUUAAAUUACAAGAUAUUAAUUGAAACACCAACAUUAACUGCCAGUCUGCCAUGAAAUGACUUUGUGGUGACGGUCUAGUAGUGUUGGUUGACGACGAAGCACUUCUCCCUGAUCUCCCCUUGGUCUCCGGUGAGUACCUCGAUGUUCCCCAUCUUGACCAUGGCCGCAGCAAACUUAGCCUGCCACACCCUCUCCACGGCGGCGUGGAACGCAACGAUGCCAGCGGUCCAUGGGCUGGUGAGCAGCGUCUGGUCGGAGGUUAGCGGCACCUUGCGCGCCAGUACGUUCUUGAAGUACUGGUUGUCGAACUCCCCCGGGGUGAUCGGGUCCAGCGCCACCGUGGUGCGGUCGCUCAUGUCGUCUGUGAACGGCGGGCAUUGCCGCCUCAGCUCCGCCGCGUAAGACCUGUCGAUGGAGGGGUCGGUCCGGCCGGCCUCAUCGGAGAAGUUGUGGAUCCGCUGCGUGAAGGAGGAGCAGUGGGAGCGGCCGAUGGUGUGCGCGCCCGAGAGCGUGACCAUGUCGUCGGCGGAGAGCCCCUUGCGCUCGAAGCUGGCCACGAGCUCGUCCACCUCGUCGGUGGGGAACGGCACGUUGUUGACUAGCACCUCGUCGGAGAUGGAGACGCGGCCGUCGCGGCGGCCGGCGGGGACGCCGUACUCGAUGCCGCCGGCGAGGUAGGCCCCGUCACGCGCGGCGAAAGCGAGCACGUCGGCGCAGG